Molecule: ribosomal RNA, 291 nt
Filed under: Dermacentor albipictus
Lineage: Eukaryota; Metazoa; Arthropoda; Arachnida; Ixodida; Ixodidae
Description: partial 16S ribosomal RNA
Rfam family: Bacterial large subunit ribosomal RNA (bases 148-291)
Source: RNAcentral
GACAGAAGACCCUAAGAAUUUUAAAAUUAAUAAGUUUUUAUAAAACCCAUUAUUGAUUUUUAGUUGGGGCAACUAAAAAAUAUUAUAAACUUUUUUUUUUAAAUAAAAUGACCCAUUAUUAAUGAUUAUUUGGAAAAAUACUCUAGGGAUAACAGCGUAAUAAUUUUUGAUAGAACAUAUAGACAAAAUAGUUUGCGACCUCGAUGUUGGAUUAGGAUUCUUUUUUAAUGAAGAUGUUAAAAAAAGAAGUUUGUUCAACUUUUAAAGUCCUACUUGAUCUGAGUUCAGACG